This 544-nucleotide ribosomal RNA is filed under the name uncultured bacterium. RNAcentral's name for it is "bacterial SSU rRNA". It matches the Rfam family "Bacterial small subunit ribosomal RNA", at positions 774 to 1314 of the family's 1533-position model. The record is from RNAcentral.
AGAGAAUAGAUACCCGGGUAGUCCACGCCCUAAACGAUGUCGACUGGUUGUUGGGGGUUUGACACUCUCAGUAAACGAAAGCUAAACACGUGAAGUCGACCGCCUGGGGAGUACGGCCGCAAGGUUAAAACUCAAAGGAAUUGACGGGGACCCGCACAAGCGGUGGAUUAUGUGGAUUAAUUCGAUGCAACGCGAAAAACCUUACCUACCCUUGACAUGUCCGGGAGCCUGCUGAGAGGCGGGUGUGCUCGAAAGAGAACCGGAACACAGGUGCUGCAUGGCUGUCGUCAGCUCGUGUCGUGAGAUGUUGGGUUAAGUCCCGCAACGAGCGCAACCCUUGCCAUUAGUUGCCACCCGUAAGGGGGCACUCUAAUGGGACUGCCGGUGACAAACCGGAGGAAGGUGGGGAUGACGUCAAGUCCUCAUGGCCCUUAUGGGUAGGGCUUCACACGUAAUACAAUGGCGCGUACAGAGGGUUGCCAAGGAGCGAUCUGGAGCCAAUCCCGUAAAGCGCGUCGUAGUCCGGAUUGCAGUCUGCAACUCG